ACUUUCCCCCUACUCCUGAAUGUCUAAAGAACUCUCAAUGCAUAUUAGCCAUCACCAUGGUUGAGACCCAGACCUCUGCAGAGACAAUCUUGAUCCUCUGGCUCCUGCUUCACAUUGCCCAUUCACCCUCAGCACUGAAAUCCUUACCUCAAGCGCUGGGAAUUCAGGCCAUGGAAGAUUAGGAGGCUCACAGCAGGAGCAAGUUAUCCUUCAAGAUUCAGGACAAAUGUCACUUCCUCAGUGAAGCCUUCUCUCCCUCCUUGGUGUCUCCAUAAUACUCUGCUUAGACUUCACAUAUAUCAUGUGUUUUCCUACUAGAUUCUGAACUCCCCGAGAGCGGCAACCCAUAUCUUAACUCUCUUUGCAUCAACAGAGCCCAAUACAAUGCC
RNAcentral lists this long non-coding RNA (389 nucleotides) under Homo sapiens (human). Its description in RNAcentral is "HSALNT0378581". Lineage: Eukaryota; Metazoa; Chordata; Mammalia; Primates; Hominidae. The record is from RNAcentral.